RNAcentral lists this ribosomal RNA (421 nucleotides) under uncultured bacterium. Its description in RNAcentral is "bacterial SSU rRNA". It matches the Rfam family "Bacterial small subunit ribosomal RNA", at positions 355 to 776 of the family's 1533-position model. The record is from RNAcentral.
UAAGGAAUAUUGCGCAAUGGACGAAAGUCUGACGCAGCAACGCCGCGUGCAGGAUGAAGGCCCUCUGGGUCGUAAACUGCUGUAGCAGGGGAAUAAAGGCCACCUCGGGUGGUUUGAAGGUACCCUGAAAGUAAGCGCCGGCUAACUACGUGCCAGCAGCCGCGGUAAUACGUAGGGCGCAAGCGUUGUCCGGAUUCACUGGGUGUAAAGGGUGCGCAGGCGGGCUGGCAAGUCAGCGGUGAAAUCUCACGGCUCAACCGUGAAACUGCCGUUGAUACUGCCAGUCUUGAGUUCGGGAGAGGUUGAUGGAAUUCCAGGUGUAGCGGUGAAAUGCGUAGAUAUCUGGAAGAACACCGGUGGCGAAGGCGGUCAACUGGCCCGGAACUGACGCUGAGGCACGAAAGCGUGGGGAUCAAACAGG